GCGGGAAUAGCUCAAUUGGUAGAGCGGCAGCCUUCCAAGCUGUAGGUUGCGGGUUCGAGUCCCGUUUCCCGCUCCA
Molecule: transfer RNA, 76 nt
Filed under: candidate division TM6 bacterium JCVI TM6SC1
Lineage: Bacteria
Also listed under: 7 other names
Description: tRNA-Gly
Rfam family: tRNA
About the family: Transfer RNA (tRNA) molecules are approximately 80 nucleotides in length.
Source: RNAcentral